GAAUUUGGUCUUUAUUAAAUAGAGUAAGAGUUUUGGGAAGCAGGCCGCACACCCCCACCCAAUUAUUCUGGGAGUAACCAUUCUCCCCCUUCCCGCCACACACCCGGGCAAAAUAUGGAUUAUGCGCGAAUAUUGUCACUACACCAACACGCGCGGGUAACGGGCGAGAUGAGUGAACGCUCCCAGCAUUCUUUGCAACAACAGUUCGUCCAUGUUGUUGAACGAGGCGGAAUAAAGGCAGAGUAAAAGGGAAGAACUUCGCUUGGAGCUAGAGAACUUUGUUGGCGAGCGAUUGAACUCGGUUAACGUUUCACGUGCGAUGGCCCAUUUUCCCUGAUGCCAUCAGAAAAAAGGUCAUCACACGAGUACGGGAAGACGACUUCAGAGAGAAUCAUCUGAGUUGGUGCUGUUUAAACUUCGGCGAAAUAGUUUUCUUUAUAUUUAUACCCGUUAAAAGUUCAGCUUCCUAGUUAUAAGUUUCUUUGAGAAUUGACAAUUUAUGUGAAGUAAAGUCCGUGUCAAGCCAAGCGGCCGAAACAGCCGGGGCCAGUUUCUAGGAGUAUUUCUACUCCUUGUCCAUAACAGCAGCAAAGCACAGGACAGUAACGAUGUGAUUUUAAGUUAGAAAAGUGCGCGAUGUUUGCUGUUAACGUCUUAGGAAACAUUUUGCUACUAAUGGCAAACAGUUUGCCAUUUGAUUCAGCUUAUGUUUCGCAAACUUUUUCUUUUUCAAUAAAAUUUGUUUAAGAUAAACAAAGAAAUAAGCGAAAUUACACAACGCUUCCAUAUCAUCUCGCUAGAAUUUAAGUGGAGAAAUAGAACAAAAUUACGUUAAUAUAUACCGAAAAAGGGUCAGUUGUUCCAUGUGAAUAAAUAAACAAUGACUAUAGGUCUGGUAAUACGGGCAUCAUUUUUCUUCAACUUGUCUCGCAACAGUGUUGCAUUGUAAGUUGAAACCCUCUGUUGCACGUAUUACCACGUUUGUGACCAACUUGUCUCGCAGCAAAACACAGUGUUGCAGGUUGAGGCAACAUGUUGC
Long non-coding RNA from Orbicella faveolata, 1039 nucleotides. RefSeq lists it as uncharacterized. NCBI's taxonomy places the organism in Eukaryota, Metazoa, Cnidaria, Anthozoa, Scleractinia, Merulinidae. The record is from RefSeq and is a predicted model, not a curated record.